UACGUGGGGUGCGAGCGUUAAUCGGAAUUACUGGGCGUAAAGCGUGCGCAGGCGGUUCGUUAAGUUCGUCGUGAAAGCCCCGGGCUCAACCUGGGAAUGGCGAUGGAAACUGGCGGGCUUGAGUCUGGCAGAGGGGGGUGGAAUUCCGCGUGUAGCAGUGAAAUGCGUAGAGAUGCGGAGGAACACCGAUGGCGAAGGCAGCCUCCUGGGCCAAGACUGACGCUCAGGCACGAAAGCGUGGGGAGCAAACAGG
This 253-nucleotide ribosomal RNA is filed under the name uncultured bacterium. RNAcentral describes it as "partial 16S ribosomal RNA". It matches the Rfam family "Bacterial small subunit ribosomal RNA", at positions 524 to 776 of the family's 1533-position model. The record is from RNAcentral.